Molecule: ribosomal RNA, 439 nt
Filed under: uncultured bacterium
Lineage: Bacteria
Description: partial 16S ribosomal RNA
Rfam family: Bacterial small subunit ribosomal RNA
Source: RNAcentral
CUACGGGGCGCUGCAGUGAGGAAUAUUGCACAAUGGGCGAAAGCCUGAUGCAGCAACGCCGCGUGGAGGAUGACGCAUUUCGGUGUGUAAACUCCUUUUAUAUGUCAAGAAAAUGACGGUAGCAUAUGAAUAAGCACCGGCUAACUCCGUGCCAGCAGCCGCGGUAAUACGGAGGGUGCAAGCGUUACUCGGAAUCACUGGGCGUAAAGGACGCGUAGGCUGUUUAGCAAGUCAGAUGUGAAAUCCAAUGGCUCAACCAUUGAACUGCAUUUGAAACUGCUAGACUAGAGUAUGGGAGGGGGAGAUGGAAUUAGUGGUGUAGGGGUAAAAUCCGUAGAUAUCACUAGGAAUACCUAAAGCGAAGGCGAUCUCCUGGAACAUUACUGACGCUAAGGCGUGAAAGCGUGGGGAGCAAACAGGAUUAGAUACCCGCGUAGUC